GGGCAGCAUGGUCUUAGCUUGCUAAGGCUGAUGGCGACCGGCGCACGGGUGAGUAACACGUAUCCAACCUGCCGUCUACUCUUGGCCAGCCUUCUGAAAGGAAGAUUAAUCCAGGAUGGCAUCAUGAGUUCACAUGUCCGCAUGAUUAAAGGUAUUUUCCGGUAGACGAUGGGGAUGCGUUCCAUUAGAUAGUAGGCGGGGUAACGGCCCACCUAGUCAACGAUGGAUAGGGGUUCUGAGAGGAAGGUCCCCCACAUUGGAACUGAGACACGGUCCAAACUCCUACGGGAGGCAGCAGUGAGGAAUAUUGGUCAAUGGGCGAUGGCCUGAACCAGCCAAGUAGCGUGAAGGAUGACUGCCCUAUGGGUUGUAAACUUCUUUUAUAAAGGAAUAAAGUCGGGUAUGCAUACCCGUUUGCAUGUACUUUAUGAAUAAGGAUCGGCUAACUCCGUGCCAGCAGCCGCGGUAAUACGGAGGAUCCGAGCGUUAUCCGGAUUUAUUGGGUUUAAAGGGAGCGUAGAUGGAUGUUUAAGUCAGUUGUGAAAGUUUGCGGCUCAACCGUAAAAUUGCAGUUGAUACUGGAUGUCUUGAGUGCAGUUGAGGCAGGCGGAAUUCGUGGUGUAGCGGUGAAAUGCUUAGAUAUCACGAAGAACUCCGAUUGCGAAGGCAGCCUGCUAAGCUGCAACUGACAUUGAGGCUCGAAAGUGUGGGUAUC
RNAcentral lists this ribosomal RNA (715 nucleotides) under uncultured Bacteroidales bacterium. Its description in RNAcentral is "bacterial SSU rRNA". It matches the Rfam family "Bacterial small subunit ribosomal RNA", at positions 67 to 769 of the family's 1533-position model. The record is from RNAcentral. Lineage: Bacteria; Pseudomonadati; Bacteroidota; Bacteroidia; Bacteroidales.